This 591-nucleotide long non-coding RNA is filed under the name Rattus norvegicus (Norway rat). RNAcentral's name for it is "long non-coding RNA NONRATT029195". The record is from RNAcentral. Lineage: Eukaryota; Metazoa; Chordata; Mammalia; Rodentia; Muridae.
GGAAGGAGCAGGUGGGGAAGGCCUCCCAUGUGGGUCCUGGACUCAGAAAGCAUCAGGAUGGACUUUACUCCUUGGCCAACUUGGCGCCUGUCUCUAGGGCUGCCUCUGAGGAUGAAGGGUCUGCUUCAUUCUGCUGCCCGAGGCUCCCAUCUGCAGCCACUUUAACCCCCGCAGCCAGAACAGGUUGAAUGAGUAGGGUCUCUGGGGACAGAUGCCAAGAAGUGGAGCUGCCUGCGUCUGCCUGAGACCUGCCUCCUUCAAUCUCUUGCUCCUGGGUUUCUGUUGCUGUCUCCUAGGCUUCCUGCUACCUAAAGCAGGGCAAGUACUCUGAGGCUGAGACUCUGUAUAAAGAGAUCCUGACCCGUGCCCACGUGCAGGAGUUCGGAUCUGUGGAUGAUGACCACAAGCCCAUAUGGAUGCACGCUGAGGAGCGGGAGGAGAUGAGCAGGAGCCGGUCCCGUGAGAGCGGCACGCCCUAUGCAGAGUAUGGAGGGUGGUACAAGGCCUGCAGAGUGAGCAGCCCCACGGUGAACACGACGCUAAGGAACCUAGGGGCUCUGUACAGGCGCCAGGGAAAGCUGGAGGCAGCUG